GAUGAACGCUGACAGAAUGCUUAACACAUGCAAGUCUUUGGCGAAGCUGUGCUUGCACAGCCUAGCCAAGGCGGACGGGUGAGUAACGCGUAAGGAACUUGCCCUGCAGUCAGGGAUAACAGACGGAAACGACUGAUAAGACCUGGUAAAAUCAGGCGGACUCAUGUCCAGCCUGAUGAAAAGAGAUGCUGCAGGAGAGCCUUGCGUCCUAUUAGCUUGUUGGUGGGGUAACGGCCCACCAAGGCGAUGAUAGGUAGCCGGCCUGAGAGGGUGGACGGCCACAAGGGGACUGAGAUACGGCCCUUACUCCUACGGGAGGCAGCAGUGGGGAAUAUUGGACAAUGGGGGCAACCCUGAUCCAGCAAUUCUGUGUGCACGAUGAAGGUUUUCGGAUUGUAAAGUGCUUUCAGCAGGGAAGAAAAAAAUGACGGUACCUGCAGAAGAAGCGACGGCUAAAUACGUG
RNAcentral lists this ribosomal RNA (463 nucleotides) under uncultured bacterium. RNAcentral describes it as "partial 16S ribosomal RNA". It matches the Rfam family "Bacterial small subunit ribosomal RNA", at positions 28 to 507 of the family's 1533-position model. The record is from RNAcentral.